AGCAGCCGCGGUAAUUCCAGCUCCAAUAGCGUAUAUUAAAGUUGUUGCAGUUAAAAAGCUCGUAGUUGAAUUUCGGGAUUGGCACAUCGGUCGUGCCUUACGGGGUAUGAACUGGUGUAGCCAAUUUCUCACCUUCUGGAGAACCGCGAUGUCCUUAAUUGGGUGCCGCGAGGAACCAGGACCUUUACUUUGAAAAAAUUAGAGUGUUUAAAGCAGGCAUUUUGCUUGAAUACAUUAGCAUGGAAUAAUAAAAUAGGACGGCAUGAUUCUAUUUUGUUGGUUUCUAGGAUCACCGUAAUGAUUAAUAGGGAUAGUUGGGGGCAUUAGUAUUCAAUUGUCAGAGGUGAAAUUCUUGGAUUUAUUGAAGACUAACUACUGCGAAAGCAUUUGCCAAGGAUGUUUUCAUUAAUCAAGAACGAAAGUUAGGGGAUCGAAGACGAUCAGAUACCGUCGUAGUCUUAACCAUAAACUAUGCCGACUAGGAAUCAGACGAUGUUAAUUUUUUAAUGACUCGUUUGGCACCUUACG
Molecule: ribosomal RNA, 528 nt
Filed under: uncultured Entrophosporaceae
Lineage: Eukaryota; Fungi; Glomeromycota; Glomeromycetes; Entrophosporales; Entrophosporaceae
Description: SSU rRNA
Rfam family: Eukaryotic small subunit ribosomal RNA
Source: RNAcentral